GGUUAUGGCUCAGCGGUAGAGCGCUCACCUCACAACAUGUGAGGUCCUGAGUUCGAUUCUCAGCACCA
RNAcentral lists this transfer RNA (68 nucleotides) under Marmota monax (woodchuck). RNAcentral describes it as "tRNA.Val". It matches the Rfam family "tRNA". From Rfam's summary of the family: Transfer RNA (tRNA) molecules are approximately 80 nucleotides in length. Their secondary structure includes four short double-helical elements and three loops (D, anti-codon, and T loops). Further hydrogen bonds mediate the characteristic L-shaped molecular structure. tRNAs have two regions of fundamental functional importance: the anti-codon, which is responsible for specific mRNA codon recognition, and the 3' end, to which the tRNAs corresponding amino acid is attached (by aminoacyl-tRNA synthetases). tRNAs cope with the degeneracy of the genetic code in two manners: having more than one tRNA (with a specific anti-codon) for a particular amino acid; and 'wobble' base-pairing, i.e. permitting non-standard base-pairing at the 3rd anti-codon position. The record is from RNAcentral. Lineage: Eukaryota; Metazoa; Chordata; Mammalia; Rodentia; Sciuridae.